Molecule: non-coding RNA, 654 nt
Organism: Arachis ipaensis
Lineage: Eukaryota; Viridiplantae; Streptophyta; Magnoliopsida; Fabales; Fabaceae
Source: RefSeq, a predicted model, not a curated record
AGUAUACCAUGUAUGACCCGGUUGAAGUAACAAGUUUUGUCGUGUUGCGGGUGUGGAGCCGAGUUCAGUGCAGGAGGUUUUUUUUUUUUUUUUUGUCUUGGGCUAAGCCCAUGAAACCUACCCGAACCCCAAUACCCAACCCACCCGAACCAGAACCCGAUUCCCUAUCGUAACCCAGAGGUUCUUGUAACGAACUCAAGCUCUCCCAUGGCUGCCGAGAGAUAGGCUUCGCUGCCAUCACUGCCUCCACCCGCGGCGCGCCGUUACCCGCGUUGACGCCGUUAAACGGCUUGGCUUGAAUGUGAUGGGCCGAGGGGUGUGGGCCUUCUGAGGCUAUGAUUAUUGUAACCCUAUACAUCUUAUUGGGCGUCUCUUUGUUGGGCAUGUAGGUGGGAUGAUCUGCACUGAUGACCUUUACUCUCUUUUGAAGUUGAGAAAGUCCCGCAGCCGAGGUCUGGGUCAGAUGUCAAUUUUGUUUGCCUCCCAUAGAGCUGUACCGGGCUUAAAUUCUCUUGGAGGAAUAUUGAACGAUUUGUGUGUAUUCCCAUAUAGUAUGUGUGAGUGGUUUGUGUACUCCCAUGUACUCCUAUGUUCAAAUCCUCUUAGAAUUUGAGACUGUCCAAUUCACUUGACAAAAAAAAAAAAACCUCUCUC